This 859-nucleotide ribosomal RNA is filed under the name Staphylococcus aureus. RNAcentral's name for it is "bacterial SSU rRNA". It matches the Rfam family "Bacterial small subunit ribosomal RNA", at positions 79 to 923 of the family's 1533-position model. Lineage: Bacteria; Bacillati; Bacillota; Bacilli; Caryophanales; Staphylococcaceae. The record is from RNAcentral.
UGCUUCUCUGAUGUUAGCGGCGGACGGGUGAGUAACACGUGGAUAACCUACCUAUAAGACUGGGAUAACUUCGGGAAACCGGAGCUAAUACCGGAUAAUAUUUUGAACCGCAUGGUUCAAAAGUGAAAGACGGUCUUGCUGUCACUUAUAGAUGGAUCCGCGCUGCAUUAGCUAGUUGGUAAGGUAACGGCUUACCAAGGCAACGAUGCAUAGCCGACCUGAGAGGGUGAUCGGCCACACUGGAACUGAGACACGGUCCAGACUCCUACGGGAGGCAGCAGUAGGGAAUCUUCCGCAAUGGGCGAAAGCCUGACGGAGCAACGCCGCGUGAGUGAUGAAGGUCUUCGGAUCGUAAAACUCUGUUAUUAGGGAAGAACAUAUGUGUAAGUAACUGUGCACAUCUUGACGGUACCUAAUCAGAAAGCCACGGCUAACUACGUGCCAGCAGCCGCGGUAAUACGUAGGUGGCAAGCGUUAUCCGGAAUUAUUGGGCGUAAAGCGCGCGUAGGCGGUUUUUUAAGUCUGAUGUGAAAGCCCACGGCUCAACCGUGGAGGGUCAUUGGAAACUGGAAAACUUGAGUGCAGAAGAGGAAAGUGGAAUUCCAUGUGUAGCGGUGAAAUGCGCAGAGAUAUGGAGGAACACCAGUGGCGAAGGCGACUUUCUGGUCUGUAACUGACGCUGAUGUGCGAAAGCGUGGGGAUCAAACAGGAUUAGAUACCCUGGUAGUCCACGCCGUAAACGAUGAGUGCUAAGUGUUAGGGGGGUUUCCGCCCCUUAGUGCUGCAGCUAACGCAUUAAGCACUCCGCCUGGGGAGUACGACCGCAAGGUUGAAACUCAAAGGAAUUGACGGGGACCCG